RNAcentral lists this non-coding RNA (780 nucleotides) under Tenebroides mauritanicus (cadelle beetle). The record is from RNAcentral. Lineage: Eukaryota; Metazoa; Arthropoda; Insecta; Coleoptera; Trogossitidae.
CCAAAGUUUUAUUCUAGCUUAUGAACUUUCUUAUUAUAAUAUUUUACAUGUAAAUUUUUGUGUGGUUUAUAGUUAACUUAAAUAGUUAUUUAAUAGUUAGUCGCAGUAUAAAGUUUUAGAAAUCAAGGCUUCUUGGAUCUAGGUAUAUAUUUAUAGUAUUGACUAAGUUUGUGCCAGCAGUCGCGGUUAGACAAACAAUGCGAGUAAGUUUUUUUGGUUUCAAUUAAUUUGAAUAUUAAAUAAUAAUUUAGAAUUGAAUUUAUUAGGUGAAAUUUUAAGUUUAACUUAGGUUAUUAAUUAAUUAGUGAGGUUGGGAAAUUUAUUUUUAGACUAGGAUUAGAUACCCUAUUAUUUUAAAUGUAUAUUUUUAAACCUAAUUAGUAUUAGUUAUGUUCUUGAAAAUUAAAGAAUUUGGCGGUAUUUUAGUCUAUCCAGAGGAACCUGUCCUAUAAUCGAUAAUCCACGAUUGGCUUGACUUGUUUUAAUUAGUUUGUAUAUCGUCGUGGUUGAACAUUUUAGGAGAAUUAAAUGUUCAAGAUUUUUUAUUAGACAAAAAUUCAGAUCAAGGUGUAGCUUAUAGGCAAGAAGAGAUGGGUUACAAUAAAUUAAUUUAUGGAUCGUGAGGUUGGACUUUACGUGAAAUUGGAUUUGGUAGUAAUUAAAUUUUAAUUUUUUUAGUGAUUUUAGCUCUAAAAUAUGCACAUAUUGCCCGUCGCUUUUGUUCUAAGAUAAAAUAAGUCGUAACAUAGUAGGCUUACUGGAAAGUGAGCCUAGAAGAGC